Molecule: ribosomal RNA, 273 nt
Filed under: uncultured Actinomadura sp.
Lineage: Bacteria; Bacillati; Actinomycetota; Actinomycetes; Streptosporangiales; Thermomonosporaceae
Description: partial 16S ribosomal RNA
Rfam family: Bacterial small subunit ribosomal RNA
Source: RNAcentral
UACGUAGGGCGCAAGCGUUGUCCGGAUUUAUUGGGCGUAAAGAGCUCGUAGGUGGUUCGUUGCGUCUGCCGUGAAAUCCUAUGGCUUAACUGUGGGCGUGCGGUGGAUACGGGCGGACUUGAGGUAGGUAGGGGAGAAUGGAAUUCCCGGUGUAGCGGUGAAAUGCGCAGAUAUCGGGAGGAACACCGGUGGCGAAGGCGGUUCUCUGGGCCUUACCUGACGCUGAGGAGCGAAAGCGUGGGGAGCGAACAGGAUUAGAAACCCCAGUAGUCC